This 22371-nucleotide long non-coding RNA is filed under the name Physcomitrium patens. RNAcentral describes it as "long non-coding RNA (PPAT_LNC000453)". The record is from RNAcentral. Lineage: Eukaryota; Viridiplantae; Streptophyta; Bryopsida; Funariales; Funariaceae.
AUUAGGAUUUGAUUUAGGAUUUAAGUAUUGCUUAGGAUUUAAGAUUUUUUUAGGAUUUAAUUAGAAUUUGACUUAGGAAUUAAGUAAAGACUAUUAGAAUUUAAAUUUUAAUUAGGAUAAAAGUAAGAUUUGAUUAAAAUUUAUUUAAAAUAUAUUUUGGAUUUUAUUUUAAUACUUCCUUUGAAUUUCUUUAGGAUUUCUUCAUACUUCUUUUGUAAUUUUUUUGAAGUUUCUUUGAAUUGAUUAAAACUUAAUUAACAUUGUUAAGGUUUAAUUGAAAUUAUUUAAGAUUUUAUUAGAAUUAAAAUCUUAUUAUUGCAAUACUCCUUCUACCUUCCAUAGCCAAGUGCUCGAUGCAUUUUCAAUUAAGGCUUUGUAUAAUAUGACAACACCUUUUUUAGACAUUUUUAUUUUAUAUCAAAAGAAAAGAAUGUAACUUUUCAUUAACAAAGAUUUUUUUUUCUAAAAGUCAGAGUAUUUUUAUCUUUAUACAAUCAUGAGAUAUUUUUUCAAAAUUAAAAAUUCCUCAUCAUUGAUCAUAUAGACUUCUUUAGCCAUUAUCUAUUCUAAAACAACCAUAGUCUUUUGUUUCUAUGGAUUUUAUUAUGGAUUGUCAAAUCUCAAGUUCUUUUGAUUCUAUAUUCGUGAUAGUAGAUCAAUUUACUAAGAUGGCACAUUUUAUAUUAUGUACAAAAUCUAUUACACAUAAAAGAAAAAUAGCUAAGAUUUUUUUUGACAAUAUUUCUUUUUAUCUUGAAUUACCAAAGAAUAUUAUAUUAGAUAGGGAGAUACAAUUUGUAUUAAGAUUUUGAAGAAUUCAUUUCAAGAUUUUGAAGGUGGAUAUAAAGUUGUCUUCAAUAUUCUAUCUUCAAACUCAUAGAUGAACCAAGUAAGUGAAGAAAGUUCUAGAGCAAUAUUUGAGAUACACUAUCAACUACCAAUAAGACAAUUGGACAAUUCUUUUGCCACCAAUAGAAUUUACUUAUAAUAAUAUGGUAUAUUCUUUUAUUUAAUAAUUUUAUUUUUAAUUAUAGUUAUUAUCUAUAAUUUGAUACUUUUGACUUUUUUAAAAUUAAUAAUUCUAUGGCAAAAGUUUUUUUGAAUCAUUUAUUAGAGUUGUAUAUAACAAUGAAGGCACAACUUAAAGAAGCAUAAGAUUAAAAAAAAAUCAAUGCAGAUGCUUAUUAUAUGGAAUAACUUCAAUUUUAUAUUGGUAAAAAGAUAUGGUUUCUUUGUCAUAAUAUCAAGACUAUUUACCUUUGUGACAAGUUGGAUUAUUGUAGACUUGAAUUAAUUCCUAUAAGUAAAUAUAUUAUUGCAAUUGCUUACCAAUUAUACUUAUCAAAGUUUAUUAAGAUCUAUCAUGUAUUCUAAGUGUCUCUUCUUGAGCCAUAUAAGACAUUAGAUAUACCAAAAAGACAAAAAAUGCCACAUCAUCUUAUAAAAGUGGAUAAUAAUCAAGAAUAUGAGGUUGAAAAAAUCUUAGAUUCAAGAUAAGACAAAAAUAGGUUAAAAUAAAUUAUUCAUUGGAAUGGAUAUAAUAUUAAUAAAUAUACAUGAAAGCCAACUAAAAAUCUUGUAAAUGUAGCAAAGAAGGUUCAUAUUUUUUUAUUUAUAAUAUCCAUCAAAACCAAGAUAAAGGAUAACAAAUAAUUAUUAUUAAAGAACGUCAAUUCAAAAAAGAUUGCAUUUGAUCUUUUAUCCUUGUUUGUGAUUUUUAUAUAUUUGUGGUACUAAGGAGAUAAAAAAUCAAUAGCUAAUAAAUCAAACUCAAGAUCCAUUAUUUGUUAACUUAAUGAAUAAGAUAUUACAAUUAUUAUAGCCUUCAAUAUGAUAUAAUCGAGAUGAAGACCUUCAAAAAUAACAUGUUCUUUCUUAAAUAAAUGGCCAAAUAUAAUGUAUUUGGUAUUAUGAACUUGAAAGCAACUCUUGAUGUUUGGUGAUUUUAUUGGAGGUAGGAAUUUAAAACUCUUCAUGAUCUUAUAAAUAUUUUGUUUGAAAGAAGUCACAAAGGCAUCAAAAAUGAUCAAAUAAUAGGAUAGUCUUUUUGCCUUGAAAUAGAAUAUUAUUAAUGGUUGAAAAGACUUAUCAACUACCUUCAAAAAAAAAAAAAGAUUAGAAUAUAUAGCAAAUAUAAUUUGCUCCAUCUUAGAGUUCAUCAAAAUGUGAUUACCACUCUUUGUCGAACUUGUCUGAAGAAGAAGGAAGUAAUGUCAUGGAUAUACAUAUUUAUCUAGAUAAGAAGUAGAUUUGAUAUUAUCUUGUAGAAAAUCUUUUUAAAAGCUUCAUAGAUAUAUAUUUGAUUUUAUACAUAUUUAUAGUUGAUUGGUAGGUUGAAAAUUUGGCCAACAAAGUAGCCAUGUAUUAUACAUAUAGAUAGCUUAUGAUACAAACUAAUGAUAUGGCAUACAUAUAGAAAACUUGUCUUAUAAGUUAAGACAUAUGUCUUUCAAAUUAGACAUAUGUUGAAAGUCCUACAAAAUGUUACCAUAUAGCUUCUAAUUGGUAGUAUAUAUAGAGGCAAGAGUGAAGCCUUCUUCACUCUUAUCAAUGCCUUCUAGUCUUUAGUCUUAUUUCAAAACUUUUUAGUCUCUUUGCCUUUCACAAUAGCCAUUCCAAUUUAAUAUUAAAUCAACUUUGAAUGAUUUUGUAGUCUUUUUGAGUGAUAUAAGAGUAUAUUGAUUUUUAAAUCCUUCGAGAUCCAUGUUCAUGAUACAUAUGCUUCCUCAAAUAGAUAGAGAAAUAUAACGUUGUUGUGUUGUGGUUCGGCUAUCAUGUCAAAAUAAUGUGUUUAUAUAUUUAAUACACAAUAUACUAGACAACAUGGUAAAAGCCAUGUCAAUAGAUUUUUGUUGGUUAUAGGAUGUAGAUAGAUUACUACCUCAAAAAGAGGUUGUUUAAAAGGGCUUUUAUUAGAAUUUGUAUAAUUUUAUUUUCUUUUGAUUGUGACUUUUGAAGUUGGUUUUAUUGGUAGUAACUUUAUACAUUUAGAGUCACCUUUGUUAGAUAUUGGUAACCGUUAAAGUUUAUUUUUUGUUCUUUAAUUUGAUGUUUAAAACAUAUAAUAUAUAAAGCCUAUAUGAAAAGGGAUUGAAGAAGGUUUUGGUAGCAAAAAAUGUAAUUAAGGUAUCCAUAUGAAUGAAUGAAGUUGGAUGAUAUAAAUCUCCAUUCUUAUUCGUCAAAAAUCAUGAUCAAUGGGCUUCUAAGACGCUCCCUAAGGCCAUAUUAGAGAUUAGGUUAGUUUUUUGGAGGGAUUUGAAUAUCAAAGGCUAUUGUCAAAAUUUUAGAUUUUGGCUAUGGUUUUGGUACAAAUUUUGAGUCAUUUGGAGUUUUUAUGAAGGAGAUAUAGGCGUUCAAAGUCAAAGUGUUGGUUUUGUAUCUACUUUCACUCUUUUGGAUAUAACGCUGUCGAAGUAGAGAGAGUUGCCUCAAGAAAGUGCUGGGCUUCUGGUUGCCACUAAAUGCUCAAACAAGUCUAAGAUAUAAAGUACCAAGUUUAUAUAUAUAAUAUUUUCUCUUUUAGGGUAAUUACAUCAAAACAUAAGCCAAAGUACCAAGAAAACACCCAAAUGUAUGAUAAGUAUCUUAAAACCUUAUAUAUCCUUAUGAGAGAUGUUUCCCAAAUUUCAAAAGCUCAUAUCUCACGAUCGGAUUGUCCAAAAAAUCCUAAAUUUUUCAUGAACUAUUGAUAUGCUUUCAAAAACUACCACAAAAAUAUUCAAUUGCAAAUUCAUUACGGAUCUUGAGAUAUCACUAAAAUCCUAACAGUAGCUUUAAACCCUAGCUUAAAUAUACUCAUGUACUAAUUUCUUCAUAUCUCAUAAAAUAAGUAUUAAAAUACCAUGAAACUUUGAUCUAUAACUUUUUAACUUAAUAACUCACACUUGUGGAAAUUUUGAGCCAAAAAUUCAUCUAAAAACUCAAGAUAUGGCUCCAAACAUUACUAUCAACAAAAUGACUCACUUACUACCUUUGAAUUACAUGUGCUAUCUUCAAUGCCCUAUAACUCCUUCAUCUAGACUUAGAAUUUGUAAAACAGUAUAUGUAAAGUAUAGCCAAGAAAGUUUACUUUUCAACUCUAAUCGCCGAACUUUCAUUGCUCUCCGUACGCAUAUGUUAUGCUUCAAAGAGUGACAGUAGGUAAAAAUUUGACACCUUAACUUUGAACACCUAUAUCUCCUUCAAAAAUAACUUGAAAUCACACAAACUCUUUACACAAAUUAUACCCAAAAUGCUGAACUUGCUGAUCUUAGCCUCCAAAGCUCGAAUGACUUCGAAAGAGAAACCCUAAUCCCUAAUAAGGCCUUGGGCAGCCUCCUUGAAGGCCAUUGGGCAUGGCCUUCGACCAAUAGGAAUGAAGAUCCCCAUUCCUUGCCUUUAUCCAACCAUGCCUUGCUUUCAUCCCUUCUAAUAAGCCUCCUACUAAUUAAGAUUUUCUUCUUUAGACUCUAAUCUCCUCUCAAGGCUUUAUACUAAACAUUUAGGUCUUAUGAUUUUUUUUUUAAAUGCUAUAAUCAAAAAAGAUAAAACUCAAAAUAAAAUUUCUUAAAUCCACUCUUUUUAAAUUAAUCUAUUUAACCAUUCUAAUAUACACCAAGACUUAUGAAUAUAUUAUAUAUUCUAAUUAAUUUUUACAUACUAUAAGCUUUUACUAUAUGACAACGCACAUAUAAAAAAAGUAACAAAGGUUCAACAAUUGGGAUUGGAGACAUCACUUUCUUGGCUAUACUUUAUAUAUAGUGCUUGAUAAAUUCUAAGUUGAAAUAUAGGAGAUAUUGGAAGUUGAAGUCAAUACUUAGAAUCUAAAGAGUAGUAAGUGAUCCAAAUUGCUAGUGGUUGUGUUUUGAGGUAUAUCUUUGACAAGAUUUUGGCUAAAAAUUUCUAAAAAUAUGUAUUUUCAUGUAAUUAAACUUUAUACAUAACUUUUGUGGCAUUUAAAUUUUGGGUUUGUGAGAUAUGAAGAAAAUAGUACCUAGGUGCUUGUGAAUUAGGAUUUUACAACACCUGCUAGGAUUUUUGAGAUUGCAUUUGAUUGGUAAUUAAUUUAUAUUUAAUUUUUUUUGUGGUAAUGCUUAAAGAUAAAUGCUAUAUUAUUUAUAAAUUUGAAAAUACCUAAAGGAUUGGAUCAAGAGAUAUGAAUUUCUAAAGCUUGGAAAGAAAAAUUUCUUUGUAAAAAAAAUAUGCUUUGAAAAGAUUUUAUUAUAAUUUGAGCAUUUUAUACAAAGUGAAGGGAUUUUUGAAAGUCAAGACUUUAUAUAUAUGUUGAAGAUGGAUAUAUGGAGUUAUGGUUAAAUUUUGAUAUAAAUAUGAGCUUUUGAGAGGAGAUUAUGGAUUUUUUUUGAAAUUAUUGAAAAUCUAAUUUACUAGCAAAUGAUUAGUUAUGAUUUGGUAUAGCCAAGAAUGUUAGAGAAUUUCUAAAUAUUUUAGAAAGUGUUAUGUAUAAAUCUUCUUAAAUAUAUAAGGUUUUACUAAUAUGAUAUCUUUUUGAUAUUAUUGUGUUUAUUUAUCUUUUACUUUAAAGGUUAAAUUACUUAUUGGAGCUUUGUCAAUAAGUUAAAACUAAACUUUCUACAACUAGGUACCCAAUGUAUUCCUAGAUAGAAAAUUAUGCAAUACAAUAUCGUGUUUGUUAUCACAACCUUGGAAGAGACUUCUGAUGCUUAGUGAUAUUAUUAGAGAUAAGAACCACCUCCAACAAUGUUUCAAAUGUUUUAUUAUAAGAGAGUUAUAAAGACCUCAACAAUGAUCAAAUAAUAAGGUGGUCUUCUUACUUUGAUAUAAGAUACUAUCAAUAGCUAAGAGGACCUAUCAACCACCUUCAAAUAAAACAAAGAUUAGAAUAUAUGGCAAAUAUAAUUGACAACAUCUUAAACUUUGUUAAUAUAUGAUGGCUACUUCUCAUAGAAUUCAUUCUUAGAAGGGAGGUUAAUAUCAUAGACAUAUAUAUUUAUCUAAAUAAGAAGUAUUAAAUAAAAAAUAAAUAUAAAUAAAUUUAAUAUUAUCUUAUGACAAAGCUUCAUAAAUACAUAUAUAAAUAUAUAUAAAUAUAUAUAAAUAUAUUUAUAGUUGAUUAGUAGGUUGGAAACUUGGCCAACAAAUUAGGCAUGUAUCACACAUGCUGGUAGCUUGUAGAAUAAGUUAAUUAUGUGGUGUACAUAUUAAAAACUUGUCUUAUAAGUUAAAAUAUGUCUUGCAAGUUGGACAUGUGUCAAAGGUCCUAUAGAAUAUUGUCACGUAGCUUCUAGUUAGAUAGUAUAUAUAGAAGCAAAAAAAAUGCUUUCUUCACUCUUGCCAAUGUUUUUUUAGUUUUUGGUCUUGUUUCAACACUUUCUAGUCUUCUUGUCUUUUGCAAUAGCAUUUUCAAUUUCAAUAUUAUAUUAAUUUUGAAUGAAUAUCUAUUCUUUUUGAGUUACAUAAGUGUAUAUUGAGUUUUUGGUUCUUUGAAACUCAUAUCCUUGACACAAACAUACUAUAAAGUCAAGUAAAAAUUGAAUUAAUUUAUAGUAUGACAUUAAGCUACUUGAGACUUUGAAGUUGGAGCAUGUGUUUCAUGUUGAGGCAUGUUUGAUUAAAAAAUCAAUUGAUUUAGAUUCAUUUGAAGUCAAAUAUUUGGAUCAGUUACAUGCAUCUUUUUUUGGCUAUUUAGCUUUUAAUUACACUUAUUACAACAGUUAUUGUAAGUAAAUUUAUAUCAUAUUUUUUAUGCCUUAGAUUAGAAGAACUAAAAUAUUUUUAAAUAAAUUAUCAUAUUUAUAAUUAAAAUUUUUUAUGAUUAUAAAAUUAUUAUUAUAAAUUUAGAUAUUUUAGCUAAUCUAUCUCUUUUAUUUGAAAUAUAUAUUUUAUUAUUUUGUAAAAAUAAACACAAAUUAAUAUUUCAAAUACUAUAUAAUUUUAAGAAAAAACUUGUGAAUUUACAUCAAAUUAUAAAUAUAUUAAAGAUAAAUUUUAAUUUAUGUAAUAAAAAGAUAUCUUUUAAAUAUAUAUUAUUUGUUUUAUUAGAUCAUAAUUUUUUAGAAAUUCAUAAUAUAAAAUAUUUUUAAAAAAUAAAAUAUUAUAUUUACUAAUUAUCUAUAAUAAUAUUUUGAUUAAAAAAUUUUAAUUCUAAUUAUUUACAAUAUAUUUUUUUAAUUUUCUAUAUUAGAUCUUUUUUUAUAUGUAUAUACAUUUUCUUUACAAUAGUACAUAGCUACUUUAUUAAUAUACAAAAAAACUUUUUAAAUAUCUAUGAUUAUAUUAUAUGUUUUUAUAACUCUUAGCAUCAAAUAAACAUGUUUUCAAUAUUAUUUGGGAUAUCUAAACAUAUUAAGUUGAAUCCUUAGGUGUUGAUUUUUUUAGAUUAAGUAUUAUAAUUCUUACAUUCUAUCUUUAAUUUUUAAUCAUUAAUAUAAGUAAUCUUUUAAUAUAAAAAAAUAAAAAAAGAAAGAAAGAAAGAAUAUAUAUAUAUAUAUAUAUAUAUACAUACACAUAUAUUUUGCUUUGGUUUUAAUAGAAAUUUAAUUAUACAUGUCUUUUUUAGUAAUCCAUUUAUAAUAUAAAUUAUACUAUUAAUUUAUUCUAGAUGUGUUAUACUAAGCUUUAUGGUAUAAAAUAUAACUUUAAAAAUAUAAAAUUAAAUAAUUUCUUUUUUAAAAAUAUUAAUUCAUUGAUUUAAAAUUAUAUCUAUUUAUAUAUUUUAUUAUAUAUUAGAUUCUUAUAUCUAAAUUUUUUAUAUUAUAAUAUUAAAUUAUUCAAUUAAUAAUAAAAAAAUUAAUUUUUAAUUUAAUUUAUUUAAAUAUGAUAUUUAAAAAAAUGAAUAAGAAUUUAAAUUUCACAAUAAUUUUAGUUUUAAAAAAUUAUAAAAAAUAGAAUUUACAUUAUUUUCUAUGUUCCUAAUGAAUAAAAUAAAAAUUAUUCUAAACAAAUUUGAGUGUGAAGAUAUUUAUAUGCUUUACAUAAGAAAAUAGAUACUUAAAAUUUAUAUCUUUAAAAAAUGAAUAUAGACUAGAUAUCAAAAUCCAAAAAUUCUAUGGUUAUAAAUCUUAUUUAUAUCAUUUUAGAAUAUAAUUCAUUUAAAAAACAUAAAGAAUUAAAGAAAGAUAGAAAAAAAAUGUAUUAUUAAAAUUAAAAACUGAUGUACAAUCUUUAAUAUUGAAAAAUCUAAGACACAUUGAUACAAGUCUAGUAUUAGUUGCUUGUACCGAAAAAAUUGAUAACUUAGUAUAACACUUUAAAUUUAUUAUGUUAAUUUUGAAAUUUAAAUAUUUAUUAGAAAUUAAAAUUACAAUAGACCUUUGAAAAAUAUGCAAAGAAUGAGAAUAUAUAAAUAUUUAAGAUAAAACCUAAUAAUUAAAAAACAACCUAAUAUUAAAAUAAAAAUAAGUUAGUAUUAGAAUCCUAUAUAAAUAUAUAAUUUUAAAUAAUAUAAUAUAAGAUAAUAUCAAAUUAGAACUAUUUUUUUGUAAACAUUAUUAAAUAGAUGUUUUGGAAGUUGUCUUGAUAUUUUUAUUUGCACUAAAUUAUGUCUAGUUAUUAUAUAUAAUAACACACUUAAAGCUGAAAUGUAAGGGUUUGUAAGUUAUUAUGAUAUUAUUAUUUGUUUUUUAAGGAGUAUGUUUAUUUAAGUCCAAUUUAUAUAUUUGCUAGUAAAACAAGAUUACAUGGUAGAUGAAACAAUUGUACUAAAAAAUAUAUAUUAAUAAAAUUUUUAAAAUUAAAUCAUGAUUUAAGUAUACAAUCAAAAUAUUUAAUACUAAAGAUAUAAAUCAAGAAGUAAAUUAAGAUAGUAUAUGAUCAAUUAAAGUCUCUAAAUAGAUUGUAUUAAUACAUUGAUUAAUGAAAAUGGUUAAGUUUACCUUGCAAGUAGCAAUUAAUAAUAGGUAAGUCCUAGAAAUAGGCUAGGAUAAUGAAUAGUAAAAAAAAUGAAAUUUAUCUUAGUAUUAAGUAAGAAAAUGACUAUUACAAUAAAAAUAUAAUUAUUCUAAGUAGAUUAGAAACUACCAAAGAGAUCUAUAACCUAUGUUACUAUGCAUUGGUAGAUCAUUUCUUAAACUUAAAUAGAAGAUACUAAAAAAAAUUACAAAUUAUAUCUUAGAUAUUUAUAUACCUAAUAAAAAAUAAGAAUUUAUUUAAACAUUUCCUAUGAUAUAAUCUUAUAAGAAUAAAAAAAAUGAUAUAGUUGUUGAUAAAUAAGCAUCUAAAAAAAUAUAAUAUUAAUAAAAUGAUAGAGUAUACAAAUAACUUAAAGAAUUUAUUUUAAUUAUAAAAGAAUAAUUGAUAAGUAAAUAGACGUUGCAAAAAAAAAAAAAUUAAAAAAAUUUAAAAAAAAAAGAAAAGAAAAAAUAAAAAAAGGAAAAAAAAAAGGAAAAAAAAUCAAUUGUAAGCGCAAUUGAUCUAAAGCACAAGAAGCAACAAGAUGAAUUAUGAGUUGAGAGAUAGGGGAUCUUAUUCUUCCAAUUUUUUGGUAACUUGAUUUUAAUUAAAAGAACAUAAAAUUAUUUAAGAAUUUAAUAAUAAUUAUUAUUAUAAUAUUUUAAUUCUAUUGAUAUUAUUAUUUAUAUUUUUAUUUAAAUUUAAUUACAAACACUUCAGUAUCUCUAAAUUUAAAAAAAAACCAAAAAAUAAGAAAUCCUUGAAUAUCUUAAAGACAUACAUAAAGUUAAUUAUAUUUACUUAAUUUUAAUUAUUGAUGUAUAAAUUAUAUUUUAAGAAGUUAUUGUAGAGCAAUGCUCUUAAAACAAUUCUAAGACUACCAAAAGUAAUAUCAAAGUUUGAUCUUUUAUAUUAGACAUAAGAGUAUUUUUUUUUUCUUAAAGUUUUUAAAAAUCCACAUUUAAAAAAAAAUUAAGACUCUUUUUAUUAUUUUAUUAUUUUUAUCUUAUUUUAUUAAUUUUUAUUUAAUUAUACAUCAUUUAAAACGUAUUUUUUUAUGGAAGUUUUUAUAUUUGUAGCAAAGCUAGCAAACAAGAAAAUUAUUAAAACUUGAAUAUGAAUAAAAGAUCGAAAAAUUAUUAUUACUAAAGCAUAAAUGUUUGAGACUACCACACAAAAAAAAUAAAAAAUAAAAAAUAAAAAAUAAGGUUGAUUGAUACAAAGAUUUAUAGCCACUAAAACUAUAUUUAUCCAAGUUCAAUAUCUUCAGUUUGAUUUUUCAUAACAUUAUAUGCUAGACUUGCAUUAUCUUAAAUUUUAUCAAACUUAUAAUAAUAUGAAUCUAAAUUGAACAAUAUAUUAAAUUAUAUCAAAUGCAAUUUAUAUAGAUUAUAAUUAUAGUCUUGAUUUAUAUACACAGUAUAUAGAUAUGCACAUGUAAAAAAAAAAAGAAGAACAUUAAACUAAGAUCUCUCAUUAAAAUAAAAUAACUUGUGUUUGUAUCUAUUUUUGUAAUGUUAAUAGCUUACAAUCAAUGUUAAAUAAGAUUGUAAUACAUUAAAUAAGGAGAAAUGUUAUUUUGAUGCUUAAUUUCUAAAGUAUUGUUUUAAUAUUCCAAAUUAAUUGAAUAAUUCAACAGUCUUUUUUAAUUCAUUACAGAAUUUACAUCUAAGGAGUACAACAUGAUUAUCUAUUAGUGAUUUGUGUUUCUAACUGUAACAAGACAGUAAUUUUGUAAUUGGUACUUUCCGUCUUUAGUUAGCGUCUAGUCACACACACAAUUGGAAUUCGGAAUUUUUUGUUUUUUGUCUUCUUCAAUCAGAGUGCUGAUAUUCACAACAAGUGAAAGAACCCCACAAAACUCUUAACAUUUCAAUCAUCCAGUUUAGAGUGUUAGAUAUUGGGGGUUUUGUUGGAUGCAAAGUUAGUAUGUGGUUUUUUUCACUCCUGCCAUCACGACAGGAUGUGCAACAGGGAUGUUCACUCCAGCAGGAAAUAGAAUAAGCGACAACAAAAACUUGUGGUACACGACAAUCAUAAAUCCAUGCGAUUGCUCUUGAUGUGAGUGACCUAACAACAAGACCCAGAGACAUCCUGCUUACUUGUGCAAAGAUUACAAAGCAGCUCUUCAGAACCAUGGCACUUCAAGACUUUCGAAAACUCUGAAUCCACGACCUUAAUCUGCACUAAAUUGGCACUCUUCAUGUAGGCACGGCUGUGAGAACGAGCUGCAAGAUCAACACCAUCCAUCUAAAAUUUUAUGGUACCCUUUGGCUUGUAUGAGUAUGCUUCAUAGUUGAUAUUCUUUUGGCCUAGGACACUCAACCUUGUGAAUGUCGUAAUCAGAUCCACCUGCCACAUACGACGUAUGAAAUGAAUAUCCACUGCUUAUAUCGCAUGAAACGAUCGAAAUGCCAUUGUUGUCCACGCCAGUCAGCAAAUCUGCACUGUAGACUGCAUUGUGCUAGCCCCUCAGAGCAGAGCUGGUAUGAAUCUCACCUCAUAGUCAGUCUGUGAGACAGUUUCCCUGCUUUCUUGGUACUUUUUCACCCAUGGUGCAAACUCAGGAUCGGUGGCCAACUUGGCUUCUGUAGCAGACUGGUCAGGCCCUAAGAAAGCUGAUAAGACAGCAAUCUGCACAUAUAGACGCGGUGUUAUGCUGCAUUAGUAAGACUUCACAUGGAAGGAAUGAGCUUCUACGCUCAAUUGAAGCGAAAUGUGGUGAAAAUUGUGAGUUGCACACCAACUGACCUGUCUCGGCUUGAUGCCCAGUUCAGCGAACCUAUCUUUGAUCUCGGUGGUAGAGGCAGUCUCCCAUGCAAGGACCCUGCCUUCAGGGUCAGCCUCUGAAGCAUCAGCUCGGCCCAGCAGCUUGUCAAACUGACCCCACUGCAUUGCAACAUGAAAAGAUCGAUUACAUUAAUCAACUCAGAUUGCGGGAGUAUCAAAGCAGUGCAUUACAGCAGCUGGAAAUGAAGGUAACGUUAGCAUCCAACCUGCCCAGUCGAGCCAUAAGCGGUGUACAACUGCUCCCCUUUCUUUUGGUCACCACCGCACUUGCGAACGGCUGCUUGGAUGAACGUGCGCUUUACAGCAGAUUGAGCUGUACAUUAUCCAGCAAUAAAUUAUUGGCAACAGAUCGCUCCACUCACCUCCAGCAACGAACAAAUUCAAAUUCAAAUUUUCACAUACGUCGGUCAAUAUCGAAAUGUACCCCCCAAUCAGAGAAGAAAGGAUCGAAAUGUAGGAUUCUAGGAACACAUACCAGCAAUCGAAAUAAGGUCCGCAUACGAAAUGGGGCCGCCCAAGGUCACAGCUGCUUCAUCUAUAGUUUUCUUGAUAUUUUCCAGGAAGCUGAGUGCCCUUUCCAGCCCUUUAUUCUCUGGCCUGUUCAGCUCUGUGCUGCACUUCAACAAAAUCAGACUGGAAGGCAGCAUCCUAAGCACUUUUUGCAAGAUAUGAAUAGAUCGUCCCUACAACAUCGAACGCUCUGAUAAGGCAACGUUGGACGCAUACCAUAACGCACCGAUCCAUUAGCUCCACCACUCUUCGAAUCCUGUGUAAGAAAGGCAUAAGUUUAUAAUUUCCUCAGCUGGAUGAAAAAAGGAAGAGUUUUGAACAUUUUUAAAUACAAAACGAAUUCAAUGCACGAAAAAAUAGAGAAAGAGGACAAACUGUAAGCAAGCGCAGAGGCCAACCUUGUCGUAAGUCAAGGCGUCAUUAAGCGCUAACUUGAGAAGAUCUGGAAUAUACUCCGGGUUUGCCUGAAAUGCGUAAGGUACAAUAUUGAACUGGCUAACCAUGCUGAGGAACACAAUGUGCGAGAAAUCAUGCAAGACAAAACCUCCUCUUUCAACGGUAGGCAAAAGGUGUAAGUCGAUAGGUUAAGAGGAGAAGACAUACAGCUAUCUCCACUCUGAGUUUAUCCUUCACGUUCGCUUCAUGCACGCCACGCAGUGGAUUCAAUUUAGACAAGAAUACAUCCACUCCUCACUUGCCAUCAAAUUAUGUACAUCCAGCAAAAUGCGGUACUGCAUGAUUAAAAGUGAAGAUAAACACAGUUCAAGGCUUCGAAUGAGACUCACUGAGGAAAAUGCCGCGCUGCUGCCUUUGAAUAAUGUCAGCAGCCUGUGCUUCGUCACCUCCAGCAACCGAAGUCCACACUCCACCCUGCCAAAUUCAUUUGAACCUAACCGACUCAUUAUUCGUACCCUAUAUUUUCAAAAAAAAGAGUCCUCAUUCAAGGUCUACUGUCAAUGGCGGAGACGAGAAUCUAAAAACAGUCAUCGUAAAGUUCAUGUCCUCGAGGCGCUUCUGAUAGCCGAAGGGCAACAUUGUUGGGGUGUAAUGAAUCACUUACUGCUGCCACUGAAGCAGAGAGACCAACGAAGACCUCUCUUCGGCCCACUGCCACUUCGUCUUUGUCACAUGCAUGGCACCUCACUCCGACCUAUUCAAAAGCACAGAACCAAAACAACGGAACUUGCAUGUUUCAACCAUGCUUCGCAAAAUGGCUCCUAGACAAUAUUCAGUCAAAAUCAGCACCCUUACUACACAAGCCGGGUCAUUAAUCUUGAGUUCGAAUGAUACAUGCCAAUGAGUAGAUAUGGAAGAACUCCAAAAAGGUUACAGGGCGUGGUUGCACACUUCUACUUCCACAGGGACAAUAUUUCAGACCCUAGAAUCGCUUGUAAUGCCUUAGUACAAUGAAACCACAUUUUCAUGGAAAUUCAAAAGAAACCAUCUACAAAUCAAAAUCAACCCCUCACCCACAGUGUAGUUGGUAAGUCUACCGUCAAUUUCCAAGUGGCGAUUACCUUGGUUGUAGUUGCCGGGUUAGUAGCUCGUGGCGGCACUGAAACGGCAGCAUUCCCACACACGAAUGGGGACGACGCCACAUUUGAGGAGAAGGAGCUUGCCAGUGAAGGAGCACUCAAGGCGCGCGUCAUGGACACCGCCGCCAUAGCUUCCACUGCUACCCACACAGCCCAAUCCCACAACCAUCUCAGCCCACUUCCCCACCGACGCGCGCAAGCACAACUUCAACCAUUUCAAACAUUUCAACAAAUCAAAACCACUCUCCACACGUAUGCCCUCUGCCCACUCCGAACAUCCGACUGACCCACAUUGCCCUCCUCACGAUUACUUGUGAGGAUUAUGCAGUAAAAUUCAUAGAAAGUAAGGGAGCAUGAGCCAUUGCAUGUAAUACAAGAGACGGUAACUCUCACCAAAACUUGAUGGGCCUGAUUUGUGUGAUCAAGGUGGUGAUGUUCCAGGAUGUGACAAGAGAGCUCUGGUUAGAAUGGCGAUGACUGAGGGCGAGCAAGGAGUUGGGUUAGCAUCACCAGUUGCGAGCCUUAUCCUGAAGUUAGAGUGGCAGUGUCCAAGUGUACAGCCAGCCUCUCAAUACUCUCUUCGGGAGAACGUGGACGUUGCUACACCAGAUCCCCAGCUUCUGAUAUUUGGGUUUGCUGUUUUAGAGCAUCAAAAUUCGCUAAAACUGUAAAUUCAUUCUCCCAUGUAUGUGUAUAUACAUACAUAUACAUAAUUGUCUGUCUUUGUAUAUGUAUAUAAUGCAGAGAAUUCUGGUGCUUUGUAACAAUUCAAUUAGAAUGUUAUAUUAUUUCAUGGUAAUAUUAACUUUUUUUGUGUUUAUAUUCAACAGAUUAGCAAUGAAUAUUUAACAUUGUUUGAAAAUAAGGUUGGCAUCGAUAGAUGAACAACUUCAACUCACGUUUUAUAAAUCAAAAUCAGCAUUUUUUCACGUUAAAAGUGUCAUUUGUUCUUAUCAUAAUUACUACAAUAUUUGUAUUUUAUAGAUAUGUGUAGUGGCUUAUAAUGCUUCUCCAAAGCACUGUAUGAUGUUGUAGAUAAAUCUAAUUGCAUUGUUAAUUUAAUGGAAUAAAUAGUAAUCUACCCUGAAUAGAGCAUUAAUUUUUGAAAAAAUCAGAUAUUACAACUUGAUUGUAUUUUUUAAUCUACUGUGAUGUUAAUGGCAUGAAACUUAUGCAUUGAUUACAUGAAGCUAGAUAUUCUUAUCACAUAUUCUAUUUUAAAAAUUGUUAUUUCUAAGAACAAAAAGACUAUAAAGUUUUAAAUAAAUCUAAGGUUUGAAACAAUUUAAUAAAAUUAAAAAUGGUGUUAGUUUUAAAAGAGAUAAGCACAUUAGAUUUUUUUAAAUUUUUUUGUUUUUUUUUUCGUUACACUUAGUAACUUUAUGCAUCAAUUUUAUCAUGGUCUGACCUAUUUUAAAAUCCUAAAUAGAAAUAAAUUCUAAAGUUGUAAUAAAACGUGUAUAAAAAUUUGGCAAGUUCAUUUACAAUGUCAUUACUUCAUUUACUUCUAAAAGAAGAAGAUCCACAAUUAUAAGUUAAUUGGCAUGUAUUUUCUUCUUAUUAAUAUAAGCUAAUAUGUCUUUACCUUCUUUUAUUUUAAAUGUAAAGAAAUUUCAUAAAUAAUAAUGAUUUUGGACAAAAUUUCUUAUAUUAUCUUCUUAAGUAGUAAUAAUUUUAUUUACUUCCACUAAUAUAUUCAAGCUCAAAAAAUUAAAAGAUGUGUUUACAAAUAUAUAUAUAUGUAUAUAUAUAUAUAUAUAUAUAUUUUUUACUUACAAGCAUCUUUAAAUAUUUACAAACAUUUUUAUGCUCUAAAAUCUCUACUUCAUAAUUUCAGGUAAUAUUAUUAGAAAUUUUAGAUUCUUGAUUGAAUUGUUUGAAAUUUUGCAUCAUUUUUAUACCCUUAAUUAGCUCUACAUCUAGUUUGUGUAUUAAUCCUCAACAAUGAAUUGGUGAUAAUCAAAAUAUUGUUAUAAGUAUUGAUAUACUCUAGAAUAGUUAGUAGGUUAAUAUAAAGAGAAUUGAUGUAAGAAAAUUUAUUUUGAGGUUUAUCUAGGUUGAUUAUAAAGUUUAAAAUAUAUAAGAUUUGGAUAUUUAGUAUAAAAUUUAAAGAGAAGAUUGGGGCUCAAAGAUGAAGAUUCAAACCUCUAAGAAGCUUAUUUGGAAGGAUGAAAGUAAGGUAUGGAUUGAUAAAGGCUAAAGAUAAAAAUCUUCAUCCUUAUUGGUCGAAUGCUAUGCCUAAUAGGCAUUCAAUAACCUAUCUGCAACCAUAACAAGGGUUUCGGAAAUUUUAAAAAGAUAAUUUUAAAAUCAAAAGUAAGAAUUUCAAGGUUUAGGAUUUGGACUACAAUUUGUAUGCAAAUUUUAGAAGAUUUGGAGUAAAGAUGAUGAAGUUAAGGUAUCUUUUUAAGACAUAUUGCUGCUCUUUUGAGAAUAGAAGGAGUUUUAUAAUAGAUUUUGGAGAUUGAGAGAUUCGGCCACAAGGAUGAUUUUAAGAUCUACACCUAUUGUGGAGGAAUUUCUGCAUUUGAAAUUUUUAUGAAUAAAUUAUAGAGCGUCAAAGAAGCACAUGUAAUUCAAAGGCAAUAAGUGAGUCAUUUUAUUGAUAGUAAUGGUUGGAGCCAUAUUUUCAAUUUUUGGAUGAAUUUUUGGCUCAAAAUUUCUAGAAGUGUAUAUUAUUAGAUUAAGAAGCUAUAUAUCAAAAUUUUAUGGUAUUUGAAUACUUAGUUUGUGAAAUAUAAAGAAAAUUGCACACAAGUAUAUGUAAAAAAGGGUUUGAAGUUAUUGUUAGGAUUUUGGCAAUAUUUCAAGAUUCGUAACAAAUUUGCAAUUGAAAUUUGUUUUGAUAGUUGUUAAAAGUAUAUUAAUACUUCAUAUAAAUUUUUGGUUUGUUUGGAUGGUUCCAUUGUGAGAUAUGAGUUGUUGAAGUUUGAAAAAAAUUCACCUUAAGAAUAUACAAGGUUUUAUAAUAUUCUUAUCACAUUUUUGGUGACCUUUAGUAUUUAGGGUUUAUGUAUUGAUGUAAUUGCUCCUAUAAGAAAAAAAAAUUAUAUAUAGACUCGGUGUUUUUUUAAUCUAGAGGCUUGGUUGAGCAAUUAGUGACAGCUAGAAUCCGAGCACUUUCUUAAGACAAAUUCUCUCUACCACAACACCGACUCAUUAAUAAAUCAAAAAAAUAAUACAAGCUCUUUGAAUCAAGAUACCAUACGCUUUGGCAAUCACUACUCUAACUGCAAAUCUAAACUUAUCCUAAAGUAUAAGUCAAAUAGAUGGAAGAAAGUAUACUGCAAAAAUAAAAUAAAAUAAAAUAAAAUAAAUUAUAAGAGGUUUUAAUUGUAUUUCAAAUAUUGAUCUUGAUCUAGACAUGAAACAAUGACAUCAAAUAAUCAGAAAGCAUUCAAAGCAAAUUAAUCCACAAAAGACCACAAUGGAGUAGUAUACUUGUCCACUGCAUAGAAUAGAAACAAUUCUAUCUAUACCCAAUUCAAAUCCUGCUUCCAGUCCAUGCUCAAUUACUACUUGAUUUAUUCUUGUAGUAUCAACGAUAAUAGACCCACUAGUUACAAAUCUAAAAGCUGAAAGAACCAUAGAUGGAAUUUCUUUUACGUUACAUGGCUAAAAUAAAGUCUUUCAAUAUAAUAACCAUAGUCGGCCAAAAGCCAUCUUGGCAAAGCAUAUAAAUAAAAAUAUUCUACUACCAAUUGUUAUAAUUGCUAUAAUGGAACAAUUAGCACAUGUAAACUUGAAAGAAGUCCAUACAAAUUUACUUCAUUUUCAUCCCAGCUUCUUAAGAUAUCCAUUUGAAGUACAAAUUCAAUUAUCAAAUAAAAUCUACUAAAGGCCAUUAAUCAAGGAUUCUUCACUCUCUAACCUAAAAAGCUUAUAGAACACAAGCUUCUAUACAAAUAAAACAUCUUUGUGGUCUCUUCUUAAGAAUGCAAUAUAUUUCUUCAAGGCCACCAAUCAUCUUGUGGUACUUUAGCUAGUUUGAGAAGUACCUAUGAAAUAAAUAAAAUAUGGUUAUAGUAUUUAAGAUGUCAGAGUUGACAAAGACGAGAUAUACAUAUGAGUUGCAUUCUACCUCCAACAUUUGGUUCAAACAUUAAGUCAAUGUAGAUGUGAUUAGACAAUAUGGAUAAGACUAUGAAAAGCUACUAAAAGAGACUUGACUAUUUUCAAUGUAUAUGCUUGAAUACUCAGUUCAAAAUAUUGCUCCUUAUGGAUAGAACUAUUAUCUUCACUCCUAUGUAAUUGUUGAUAUGUCAUAUGUGGAUACUAAAACUUUCUCGAGCAAAGGUAAGAUAAAUCCUCACCUUAUAAAAAGGUGAUUUUAAAAGGAAAAAAAAACUUAUUUGUAGUACUAAAUAUUAAGAAGAACUUUUUUAUUACCAAUAGAGUGUAGUACUCUUAAAAUAAUAGGAAACAAGGACAGACCCAAGUAAUUGCAAGGUUAGAUAUGAUAUAUAUUUUCAAAGCACUUGAAGCAGAAGUCAAUGUGAUCAUUGAAUAUAUUAUUAAAAGAAAUUAUAUGCUUAUAAAUUAUUAGUUUAUGAAUAAUAUUCUAUAAUUAGUAAGUAAGCCACAUCAAAUCUCUACAUAUAAAAUAAAUAUUGUAUAUCUUAUAGAUCUUAAAGUUUAUACUAAAGUAAUCUAAAUAUAAACAUCUAACUCUAGCCAUGACUUCAUACAAAAAUUGUGGAUAGUUGUCAAGUUCUAUUAAGGAUACAAGAUUAAAAAAAUUAUGUAGUAUUGUUAUAUAGAGGUGCAUUAGCAAAAAUACGUAGAUUAUGCUUUGAUCGAGUUUCAAAUCAACUUGAAAAAAAUAGUCCUUUAAGAUUGACCAGCAGAAGCAAUAAAAAACUUACAAUUAUUUGAAUAAUGCAAAGCUGAGGGCUUUUGGAUUCAAAGCUAAGUAAAAUGGUGCUAAGCUAUUAUCAAAAUAAUAUUUUUGUAUAAAUAUGGAGUGAUCAGAUUAUAUUGCCAUUAUUAUACUGAAAAAUAAUAUAAAGUUAUUAGUAACAGAUUAAUCUUCACUAGAAGAAGUAUGCUUGUGGUUUUAAAUAGACAUAUAUGCUAUAGCAUCUCCAUCUCCUAAUAAAGUGAGAACUAUAAUGCAUAUCCUAGAUAGCAUGAAUGACAAGCUAAUUGAUAAUAUGAAGUCUGUUCUUACAACUCCAAUCUCCAUACUUGAAUUAGAUAAGGCCUUACAAGAGAUGACAAUAGAAAAAGCUUUAGGACUAGAUAGGAUGAUCAUAGAAUUUUUCAUCCAAUUUUGAGAUGUUAGUAAAAUAGACUACUUGGAGAUGCUAAAAGAAGCUAAAAGAUAUUGUCAUUUUCUUCUUGUAAUUACUUGUGGCCUCAUUUUUUUAUUAUUAAAAAGUAAAAUUAAAUCUUAAUUUAUAAAUUAGAUACUUAUUAAAUUUUUAAAUGAUACUUAUAAGGUAUAUGCCAAGGUACUCUAAACACAUUUAUAACCAAUUCUUAUAGAAAUCAUCUUAUUUGAUCAGUCUAUCUUUUUAUCCAUGAAGUUCAUUUUAGAAAAUAUUUUUCUUAUCUAUAAAAUCAUGGACUAAGCAAAACAUUCUAAAUAGUCAUUUUUUUUUCAAACUAGACUUUUUAGAGACCAAUAAUAUGAUAGAUUAGUCAUUAUUUUUUCAAGCCAAAGAAAGAUUUGGGAUUCUACUUGAAUUUGUAGAGAUAAUGAAGCUUCAUUUUGUUGAUGCUUUAGCAAAUAUAAAGAUAAAUAGAUCUUAAUUUCUAUCCUUUUUUAUAGCUAAAAAGAUGCAAAAAAGCUCCCCUCUUAUCUCUUAUCUUUUCUUAAUCAUUGCCAAAAUUUUCAACUGUGUUCUAAAAAAAAGAAUAAAAGAUGGAAUAGUCAAAAGAAUAGUACUUCUAAUUACAAGUAGACAAUAAAUUAUUUUUCAAUAUAUAGAUGAUACCUCCUUUAUACUUCUUGAAGAAAAAACUCUAAUAAAAAAAUUAUUAUAUUUUUAAAAUAUUUUUAUUUUAAUUUUGGAUAAGUCUUGAAUUCGAUUAAAUCAUGUAACUAUUUGUCAAGGACAUGAACUAAAAUAUGAUGCAUAAACCAAUAAAAUCCGUAUCAAAAAAAGAGUAACAAAAUAGAAAUAAAGAAGUAUGUAUACUAAAAAGAAACUGGAAUAGCUUAUUGCUAAAAGAGAAGAAAACUUAAGACUCUUGAAACUAGACUAGAAGCAAGAAAGGAGUUGAUAAGAGUGAAGAAGGCUUCACUCUUGUCUCUAUAUAUACUAUCUAACUUGGGGAUAUGUGGCAAUAUUCUAUAGGACUUCUAAUAUGUAUUGACUUUGUAAGAUACAUAUCUUGACUUAAAAAAUAAGUUUUUUUAUAUGUGGAUCAUAUAAUUAGCUUGGUCUUCAAGCUAACAACAUGUGUGGCAUAUGGCCAACUUGUUGACCACUUUUUUAAUCCAAAAAGUCAAUUACAAACACCUGUAAAGUGAAAGCAAUGUCUAUGAAGCUUCUAAGAAGCUAUUAUAGAAGAUAUUAUAAAAUUAACUUAUUUUUACUUACUUCUAUUUACUUCUAUCUAUUUAUACAGGUAAUUACUAGCUUAUAUGUGUAUGUCAUGACAUUAUUCUCCCUUCUAUGAACAAGUUCCAUGAAGAGCAGUCAUCAUAUGUUGCAGAAAUCUAUGAUGCGAUGAAUUGUAUUUGCCACUUACUCAAAUCUUUAUUCUCUUUGAAGAUGGUUGAUAGGGCCUUUCAACCAUCAAUAGUGUCCCAUACCAAGGCGAGAAGACCAUCCUAUUAUUUGAUCAUUAUUGAGGCCUUCACAACUACCUUCAAAUAAAAUAUUUGAAGUACUAUUGUUAUCAUGUAACAUGACUAAUAAGUGAAAGAGUAUAGAAAUUAUUAUAAUAUAAGAUAUCUUAGCUCAAAGUAUUAGAGCAACUUAUCUUAUAAAUAGAGUUAAUAGUAAAAAAGAUAGUAAAACUAACAAGUAUCAAUUUUGCCUUUUACAAAAUGGCCUUCUAUUUACUUUGUUGGACCAUAAAUAAGGCAAAAUAAAUUAGAUUAAAUAAAUAAAGAAUAUGAACAUUUGUAAAAAAAAGUUAGGAGCUGAUUUUAAUAAAAAUUAAAUCAAAAAGACAAAAUUUGAUAUCCAAAGAGGGCCAGUUAUGAACCAAGGUUGAAAUCAGACCCUAAGGCACAAAACCAAGCCUCGACAAUGACUUCAGGGUUCUUUUAUAAAUAUGAGAGUGGAAUUUGAUAGCAGACUAAAUAAGGUUUUUAUGAGCAUUGGAUUUGAGUGAUUUGGAUUCAUAAUGACUUUUUAAGACCUUUACAAAGUCAAGUUUGUUUUUGGAUGACUUGGAUUUUGUGAAAUAAAAUAGAGUUGAUGUUUUGGGCGAUUUCAAGAGUUUUGUAAUAGACCUACAAGUAAAAUUUUGUGGAUUAAUGGUUAUAAUUGUACUUAAUAUGUAUUGUAAAUUUUAGCUUGAUUUAACAAUUGAAUUGAGGAUAAUUGAGGUUUAAGUGGAUCAAGAUCUCAGAAAGUAGAAUUUUAGAUCUAGUGAGGAUUUUUAAGUUUUCUUGUAAUCAGCUAAUUGAAUUGGAGUAAAAUUUAUGGAUCAAGAAAGAAGACUUGUUUUCCUAUAUAUAUAAGAAUUUUAAAAUCAAUAAAACAGUGAAAAGAAGAGCUAUUGGCUUUGGAAGAUUCGCAUCAAGGUCAAAGAAGGAGGUCAGCCAAUAUCCGAGCAUGUUUUUGAGGUUAUCAUCUAUUUGGUAGAUGCAAUCUUUUUCAAAUUUUUUGUAUUUUUUGUCAACUUAAUUUUUAAAAAGUAUAAAAAUUUUGACUUAAAUUCAAUAGUUAAUUCAUUAGUUAUUGAGGUUUGAAUUUAUUAUAGAAAUUACUAGGAUUUGGUUUAGGAUUUAAGAUUUGAUUAGGAUUUGAUUUAAGAUUUAAGAUUUGGUUGGGAUUUAAUUUAGGAUUUAGGAUUUGAUUAGGAUUUGAUUUAGAAUUUAGGAUUUGGUUUAGGAUUUAGGAUUUGAUUAGGAUUUGAUUUAGAAUUUAGGAUUUGGUUAGGAUUUGAUUAGGAUUUGAUUUAAGAUUUAAGAUUUGAUUAGGAUUUGAUUUAGGAUUUAGAGUUUGGUUAGGAUUUGAUUUAAGAUUAGGAUUUGGUUAGGAUUAGAAUUAGGAUUAGGAUUUGGCUAGGAGUAGGAUUCGAUUUAGAAUUUAUGAUUUGGUUUAAGAUUUAGAAUUUAGUUAGGAUUUGAUUUAGGAUUUAGAAUUUGGUUAGGAUUUGAUUUAGUAUUUAAUAUUUGGUUAGGAUUUAAUUUAAGAUUAAGAUUUAGUUAAGAUUAGGAUUUGAUUUAGAAUUAGGGUUUGAUUUAGGAUUUAAGAUUUGGUUAGAAUUUUAUUAGGACUUGAUUUAGGAUUUAGGAUUUGAUUUACGAUUAAGAUUUGGUUAGAAUUAAGAUUUGAUUUAGGAUUAGGGUUUGAUUUAGGAUUUAGGACUUAGGAUUUAUUUAGGAUUUAAUUUAGGAUUAGGAUUUGAUUUAAGAUUAAGAUUUGAUUAGGAGUUGAUUUAGAAUUUAAGAUUUUAUUUGAAUUUAUUUAAGAUUUAAGAUUUAACUAGUUUUUGGCUUAAAAUUUGAAUGAAGUCCAAUAGGAUUUUAAUUAGGAUUAAAUUAAGAUUAAAUUGAGAUAUA